GGUAAGGAAGCGAAAGGAAAAAGACACAAUUUAAAAAAAGACCAAUGUGAGUUCUAAAAUUGGUGUAUUGAACAUUGAAAAACGACUUGGGCAAUUAUGCUGUAUGUCCGACGAUAUAUUGUGUGAGACUUCUUUAAAAUAAACGACUUUAGGUCAGAAAUCAGAAGCCCAUUUUCAACAAUAAUUAUCUGUUAUGGUGCAACCAAACAGCACACUUUGUUGUGAACGUCUCUGACUGAUGAGAAAUCAACGUCGUUCGUUUAUUGACAACGUAAAGAGCGAGGUGGCGUGUUAGGCUAGCCUGCUAGCUACUUCCGUAGCGCCUUCGAGAGCGCCACGUCAGACGCCAGACAAAAAAAUCGAACAUCGAACCUCAAACGAUAGGCGUGUGUAGAGAAUGUUAUUAAAGAAAAAAAAAACA
This is a long non-coding RNA of Hippocampus comes (tiger tail seahorse), 421 nucleotides long. RefSeq lists it as uncharacterized. The record is from RefSeq and is a predicted model, not a curated record. Lineage: Eukaryota; Metazoa; Chordata; Actinopteri; Syngnathiformes; Syngnathidae. The transcript is spliced from 2 exons.